Molecule: long non-coding RNA, 434 nt
Filed under: Columba livia (rock pigeon)
Lineage: Eukaryota; Metazoa; Chordata; Aves; Columbiformes; Columbidae
Description: partial uncharacterized LOC102096604, transcript variant X1
Source: RNAcentral
GGAAAUUAGAGCCCGAAACAGACAGAUUAGAAGGGAAAAAGCCCAUUUUUCCAUCAUUUUCAAUAGCAGCUCAGUUCCCAGUGACCCCAGGGACUGAGGGCCAGCACCAGGCUGCCCAUCUACGGCUCCCAGCAAAAGCUCCCCUGCAGCCAGCACCUGGUUCAGCACACGCCGAAACUCCCAGCGAAACAACCCACGACGCCAACCAACCCACGUCCCUCUAACUCCUCUCUUGCAGCCCAGGGGGGACCAGACACCGGCUGAAGUGCUGGUGCAGAACAGAAAUUUGCCUGUUUUUAAGGCUGAGCCCUGCGGGGUGGCCGGCAGCCCCACAGCGAUGCCCCCACAAAGCCAUCACGCAUCCCGCGGGCACAGGGCGAUCAGGCGUCCUGCUCCCGGCAGCGGGGUUCACGCACCCUCUGCAGCUUUCCCAU